UACGUAGGGUGCGAGCGUUAAUCGGAAUUACUGGGCGUAAAGCGUGCGCAGGCGGUUUUGUAAGCCAGAUGUGAAAUCCCCGGGCUUAACCUGGGAAUGGCAUUUGGGACUGCAAGGCUUGAGUGCAGCAGAGGAGACUGGAAUUCCUGGUGUAGCAGUGAAAUGCGUAGAUAUCAGGAGGAACACCGAUGGCGAAGGCAGGUCUCUGGGCUGACACUGACGCUCAUGCACGAAAGCGUGGGGAGCAAACAGG
Molecule: ribosomal RNA, 253 nt
Filed under: uncultured bacterium
Lineage: Bacteria
Description: partial 16S ribosomal RNA
Rfam family: Bacterial small subunit ribosomal RNA
Source: RNAcentral